AGACUUUGAUUAUGGCUCAGGACGAACGCUGGCGGCAUGCCUAACACAUGCAAGUCGAACGGACUUUGGUGAAGGAAGUUUUCGGAUGGAAUUCACCGAGGUUAGUGGCGGACGGGUGAGUAACGCGUGGGUAACCUGCCCAUAAGACUGGGAUAACUUCGGGAAACCGGAGCUAAUACCGGAUAUAUUCUUUUGUCUGCAUGGAUAGAAGAAAAAAGAUGGCCUCUCGACGAAGCUAUCGCUUAUGGAUGGACCCGCGUCUGAUUAGCUAGUUGGUGAGGUAACGGCUCACCAAGGCGACGAUCAGUAGCCGGCCUGAGAGGGUGAACGGCCACACUGGGACUGAGACACGGCCCAGACUCCUACGGGAGGCAGCAGUGGGGGAAUCUUCCCCAAUGGGCGAAAGCCUGACGGACCAAUGCCCCCGUGAGUGAAAAAAGCCUUUCGGUUUUAAAGCUCUGCCUAAGGGAAGAAUGUCUUUGGGUAAUAAUGCAGGGUAUUGCCGGUCCUUGGGAGGAAACCCCGGUAAAU
This 531-nucleotide ribosomal RNA is filed under the name uncultured bacterium. RNAcentral describes it as "bacterial SSU rRNA". It matches the Rfam family "Bacterial small subunit ribosomal RNA", at positions 8 to 501 of the family's 1533-position model. The record is from RNAcentral.